Molecule: ribosomal RNA, 1958 nt
Filed under: Thelohanellus testudineus
Lineage: Eukaryota; Metazoa; Cnidaria; Myxozoa; Bivalvulida; Myxobolidae
Description: SSU rRNA
Rfam family: Eukaryotic small subunit ribosomal RNA
Source: RNAcentral
GUAUGUGCCAGUUCAUACGUUUAUAACGUGAGACUGCGGACGGCUCAGUAAAUCAGUGAUAAUCUGUUUGAUUGUUCCUCCCAUUGGAUAACCGUGGGAAAUCUAGAGCUAAUACGUGCAGUUUAUUGGCGUCAUUCUACGGAGGGCGUCAAAGCAUUUAUUAGACUAAACCAUCUACUAUGCUCGCAUAGUAAGGGGAAUCUAGAUAACUUUGCUGAUCGUAUGGCCUCGUGCCGGCGACGUUUCAAUUGAGUUUCUGCCCUAUCAACUUGUUGGUAAGGUAUUGGCUUACCAAGGUUGCAACGGGUAACGGGGAAUCAGGGUUCGAUUCCGGAGAGGGAGCCUGAGAAACGGCUACCACAUCCAAGGAAGGCAACAGGCGCGCAAAUUACCCAAUCUAGACAGUAGGAGGUGGUGAAGAGAAUUACUAGGUGGUGGCUCAAUGAGCUACCAGUUUGGAAUGAACGUAACUUAAGAAAUUCGAUGAGAAACAACUGGAGGGCAAGUCCUGGUGCCAGCAGCCGCGGUAAUUCCAGCUCCAGUAGUUUGCUUUAAAGUUGUUGCGUUUAAAACGCUCGUAGUUGGAUCACGCAGCAGUGUCCAGUAAUCUGUUGAUUGACUUCUCUCUGGUUGUGUCUGUCACGUUACGGCCUUUCGGAAGCUGUCGGCAACAGAUGUUAACGCUGGCCAUUGUUAGUUGCACGUGAGAUGAAUUGUUGGCCUUUGUUGAGCCGAUAUUCUCGUCUUGCGGAGUGUGCCUUGAAUAAAACAGAGUGCUCAAAGCAGGUUAUCGCCUGAAUGUUAUAGCAUGGAACGAACAAUCGUGUAUAUGUGUACAUCCUAUAACGGUGACGAGCCCCAGGCUUGUUGUUGUUAAGGGUGUGCACGGCACCCACCAAAGUAUGGCUGUUGGUUCCAUAUACGGUGAUGAUUAAGAGGAGCGGUUGGGGGCAUCGGUAUUUGGCCGCGAGAGGUGAAAUUCUUAGACCGGCCAAGGACUAACAAAUGCAAAAGCACUUGUCUAGACCGUAUCCAUUAAUCAAGAACGAAAGUGGGAGGUUCGAAGACGAUCAGAUACCGUCCUAGUUCCCACUGUAAACUAUGCCGACCUGGGAUCAGUCCAGAGGUGUUACAAGCUCUAGAUUGGUCCCCCUGGGAAACCUGAAGUUUUUCGGUUACGGGGAGAGUAUGGUCGCAAGGCUGAAACUUAAAGGAAUUGACGGAAGGGCACCACCAGGGGUGGAGCCUGCGGCUUAAUUUGACUCAACACGGGGAAACUUACCUGGUCCGGACAUCGAUAGGAUUAACAGAUUGAUAGCUCUUUUAUGAUGCGAUGAGUGGUGGUGCAUGGCCGUUCUUAGUUCGUGGAGUGAUCUGUCGGCCUAAUUGCGGUAACGAACGAGACCAUAUUCUCCAUUUAAGAGACAGAAGCAGACGGUUGGCGGUGCAAAGCCUCACGGUUUUGCCUGUCAAUCGUUGUAGGCUGGAUGGAGUGUCGUAUUGUAAAGAUGUGGGUUUACUCGCAAACGUAUGAUAUGACAUGCGGUUCCUCCCUUCUGUUAAGCAGCGGUCGGUGGUUUCCACUGGCUGGUGCCUUAUGGAGAGACAACGAGGUAUAAACAAGCUCGAGGAAGAGUGGCUAUAACAGGUCAGUGAUGCCCUUCGAUGUUCAGGGCUGCACGCGCGCUACAAUGAUAACGACAACGAGUGUCUGCGUCGAAAGACGUGGGUAAUCUUUAAUCGUUAUCGUGAUGGGGAUUGACCGUUGUAAUUGUCGGUCAUGAAAGAGGAAUCCCUAGUAUGCGCAUUUUAUUAGAAUGUGCAGAUUAAGUCCCUGCCCUUUGUACACACCGCCCGUCGCUACUACCGAGUGAAUGGUGUCAUGAUGCGCUGGGACUGGACGUUAGAUGGGUCUUUGGAUUCGUCCGACGCUGGGAUCAGCGUAAAAUGGCGCAAUU